AUACAUAUUUAACAUACCCCUAGGAGGGGGAUAGCCGCCUGAAAAGGCGAUUAAUACCGCAUAGGAGCCCAAAUCAAAAGAAGGGGGCUUUAAAGGAGGAAACUCCGCCAAGGGAUUGGGAUAUGCUCUAUUAGCUAGUUGGCGGGAUAAAAGCCCACCAAGGCGAUGAUAGAUAGCUGGUCUAAGAGGAUGAACAGCCACAAUGGGAUUGAGAUACGGCCCAUAUUCCUACGGGAAGCAGCAGUAGGGAAUCUUCCACAAUGGGCGAAAGCCUGAUSAGAGCAAUGCCAUGUGAACGAUGAAGGCKUAUUGGUCGUAAAGUUCUUUUAGGGGGGAAGACAAAAGGACGGUACCUCCUGAAUAAGUGACAGCAAACUAUGUGRCAGCAGCUGCGGUAAUACAUAGGUCGCGAGCGUUAUUCGGAUUUAUUGGGCGUAAAGCAAGCGCAGGCGGAUGGAUAAGUUCUGUGUGAAAAGCAGCUGCUCAACAGCUGUUGGCGCCGAAUACUAUCCAUCUAGAAUACGGUAGAAAGUUUUGGAAUUGAAUAUGGAGCGGUGGAAUGUGUAGAUAUAUUCAAGAACACCAGAGGCGAAGGCGAAAACUUAGGCCGCUAUUGACGCUUAGGCUUGAAAGUGUGGGGAGCAAAUGGGAUUAGAUACCCCAGUAGUCCACACUGUAAACGAUGGGUAUUAAGUCUUGGGACUAGAGUCUCAGGGCUGGAGCUUACGUGUUAAAUACCCCGCCUGGGUAGUACAUAUGCAAAUAUGAAACUCAAAGGAAUUGACGGGGACCUGAACAAGUGGUGGAACAUGUUGCUUAAUUCGAUACUACACGAAAAACCUUACCAAGAUUUGACAUCCCUCGCGAAGCUUUAGAGAUAAAGUGAAGGUUAUCGAGGUGACAGGUGGUGCAUGGUUGUCGUCAGCUCGUGUCAUGAGAUGUUGGGUUAAGUCCCGCAACGAGCGCAACCCUACUCUCUAGUUGAUUGUUUAGAGAGACUGAACAGUAAUGUA
Molecule: ribosomal RNA, 1013 nt
Filed under: uncultured Mycoplasma sp.
Lineage: Bacteria; Bacillati; Mycoplasmatota; Mollicutes; Mycoplasmatales; Mycoplasmataceae
Description: bacterial SSU rRNA
Source: RNAcentral